AGCGAACGCUGGCGGCAGGCUUAACACAUGCAAGUCGAGCGGGUCCUUCGGGGUCAGCGGCGGACGGGUGAGUAACGCGUGGGAACGUGCCUUCUGGUUCGGAAUAACCCUGGGAAACUAGGGCUAAUACCGGAUACGCCCUUUUGGGGAAAGGUUUACUGCCGGAAGAUCGGCCCGCGUCUGAUUAGCUAGUUGGUGGGGUAACGGCCUACCAAGGCGACGAUCAGUAGCUGGUCUGAGAGGAUGAUCAGCCACACUGGGACUGAGACACGGCCCAGACUCCUACGGGAGGCAGCAGUGGGGAAUAUUGGACAAUGGGCGCAAGCCUGAUCCAGCCAUGCCGCGUGAGUGAUGAAGGCCUUAGGGUUGUAAAGCUCUUUUAUCCGGGACGAUAAUGACGGUACCGGAGGAAUAAGCCCCGGCUAACUUCGUGCCAGCCGCCGCCGUAA
RNAcentral lists this ribosomal RNA (449 nucleotides) under uncultured bacterium. Its description in RNAcentral is "partial 16S ribosomal RNA". It matches the Rfam family "Bacterial small subunit ribosomal RNA", at positions 29 to 523 of the family's 1533-position model. The record is from RNAcentral.